RNAcentral lists this ribosomal RNA (485 nucleotides) under uncultured bacterium. Its description in RNAcentral is "partial 16S ribosomal RNA". It matches the Rfam family "Bacterial small subunit ribosomal RNA", at positions 30 to 507 of the family's 1533-position model. The record is from RNAcentral.
AUUGAACGCUAGCGGGAUGCUUUACACAUGCAAGUCGAACGGCAGCGCGGACUUCGGUCUGGCGGCGAGUGGCGAACGGGUGAGUAAUGUAUCGGAACGUGCCCAGUAGCGGGGGAUAACUACGCGAAAGCGUAGCUAAUACCGCAUACGCCCUACGGGGGGAAAGCAGGGGAUCGUAAGACCUUGCACUAUUGGAGCGGCCGAUAUCGGAUUAGCUAGUUGGUGAGGUAACGGCUCACCAAGGCGACGAUCCGUAGCUGGUUUGAGAGGACGACCAGCCACACUGUGACUGAGACACGGCCCAGACUCCUACGGGAGGCAGCAGUGGGGAAUUUUGGACAAUGGGGGCAACCCUGAUCCAGCCAUCCCGCGUGUGCGAUGAAGGCCUUCGGGUUGUAAAGCACUUUUGGCAGGAAAGAAACGUCGCGGGCUAAUACCCCGUGGAACUGACGGUACCUGCAGAAUAAGCACCGGCUAACUACGUG